This 948-nucleotide long non-coding RNA is filed under the name Populus trichocarpa (black cottonwood). RNAcentral's name for it is "long non-coding RNA (PTRI_LNC002130)". The record is from RNAcentral. Lineage: Eukaryota; Viridiplantae; Streptophyta; Magnoliopsida; Malpighiales; Salicaceae.
UAUACAUCCAUGCCAUCUUUCUUGUCCCACAGAAUCUCCUCAAGCCACAGGCGAACCUUUGGCAGUUGGAAUGUCAGGAAUCAUCGAACAGAUAUGUAUGUGACAACAAAAAGGCGAUCAGAGAAGGAAAGGAAUAAUUCUUUAUAGAGAAAAAUAAAGUACAGAAAUAAGCCUAACUGCACAAGAAAGUCAAAUAAAAAAAAGGGAUGUCAAUAUCUGAAUUAUCUGAUCAGAUUAUGUUCGAUCAAACCUCCUACAGGUGUCCCUGAAACCCUUAUUUCCUGUACUGUCAGCUUUCACAAAUGCAGCCAAGCAAGCACAAACCAGGAUAACUCUAAAUUCAAAAUUCAAUUUCUCUGCCAUGUUCAUCGUAUUUUCUAAAUUUUAAUCUGUCAUACUACAAUAUUUUGCAACAAUGAUAGUGAAAAACCGAAGCUAUUGGCCUUCAGAAACAGUUACAGAUACAUCCCAAAAAACCAAGCAUGCACCCAUGCAAAAUGGGGACUUGAAAAGAAAAGGGAACACAAAGACUUGAGUCAAUGAAAGAGCAACAUCAAAACUCAAAAGCUAUGUAGAUAUCCUAUCAUUCGUACACUAUAUAAAGGGCCAUAAUUUUACCUAAGAGAAACAACAAAACAGAAUUGCAAUUUCCUUCAUGUUUAUGGAUAUGAUAGCAAUUGCUAGUGCAACUGAACUAGAGUAAAAAUCAGAGCAAGAAAAUGCUAGUCCAGGGGUGUAUGCUUGUGACAAAUGGCAUGGUUUCAGCAAUAUUGGACCUAAGAGUAGCACAUCACAACAAAUUUGUACAGCUUGUUGAUGAUCCACUUCAAAUAAACUACCUUAUCAAGAUCAACCUUCUGCGACUCACAGAUACAUAAAGUUCGCAAGCUGGAAUCAUGAAGAUCACUGGUAGAUAAAGACUUGCUUUCCUCUAAUAACACUUCCAAA